Molecule: long non-coding RNA, 1379 nt
Organism: Lagenorhynchus albirostris (white-beaked dolphin)
Lineage: Eukaryota; Metazoa; Chordata; Mammalia; Artiodactyla; Delphinidae
Exons: 5
Source: RefSeq, a predicted model, not a curated record
UUCAGACUGGAGCCUGAGGGCGCUGGAAGGUCAGUGGAGGGACUCAGCAAGAUGAGAUGUACCUGAUGGGAGUGUUUUUCCAAGAUCGCCCUGCCUGCUGUCGGGAGAGGAUGCGGUGGGGCGGAUAAGGGAUUAUGAUGACCCCAGAGCGGUCACACCUCGGACGGCCCAGACACAGAAGGUGAAGGGCUAGGAGCACCUGGGGGUCUGAAAGAAGACAAGAAGCGGCGUCUCUACGCUCAAGGGGAAGAGAAGAGGGGUCUCCACACGCAGAGAAAAGGGCCUGAGCUGAACAGGCCUCCUGCUCUGGCUGACGGUCCCCGAUUCUGACCCUUUUGGAGAAGUCUCCACAACGGGGCUCCCGGGCCUUCCAGGCACCGAGGGCUCAGGAAAGAAGCACCUCCUUGGAGUCCGAGCCUCGGUUCAGUUCCAGCCCAUCCUACACUUUCUACCUGGGAGACAUUACCACUCGGAGCCUCGGUUUCCUCAACGGCAAAAUGGGAACACCACCUCCCAUCUCUUGCCAGGUCUGCGCAUGGCCUCAGAACUCUCCUGGUGCUGCGGGUGGAGAGUUUCAAGGUGACUGUGAGCUUCAGGAGAGAAAGGAGGGCAGAGUGCCCAAGGCUGCACCAGGGCAAGGACGGGCGUCUGGCUCCCGGCCGGCCGGUAGGUGGGUUGCUGGACACCAGUUUAAAAGAAGAAAGAUUAUUGACUCCAUCAAGUUGGCAUAACACAGCAACCGAAUAUACUUCCAGCAUUUACAGUCCUGCUGGAUUGGUCUCCAGGCUGGAAAUUUAUGCAGUGAACUUCUAGGGAAAUGCUGAAGCAAAUGCUAAACAAGAAGCUACUUUUUUCACUCUGAAGUUCUAGCUGCAGCCUUAAGAAAUCAGGAGAAAUGUAAAAAGUGAGAAAUAAAUCAGAAGUAAAGUUGGAACCCAGGCCAACUUCGGGAACGGUGACAGAAGGGCUCACCUUCAGAGCACGGAGCGGACCGAGUCAUGUUACAGCCACAAAGAGGCAGUUAGGACUCGCCCCUGCCUUGGAGAAGAGGUGUCCUCUAGAAACCAGUGCCGGUGUCUGGAGCCAUUUUAGGUUGUCACGUCUGGAGGAGGGGUUAGCGGGUGCUACUGGCAUCGAGAGGGUGAGAAUCAGGGAUGCUGCUAGAUUCCCUACCGUGCACAGGACAGGCCCCCACAGCAGAGAGCUAGCCAGCCCCAAAUGUCACCAGGGCUGAGGCUCAGAAACCCUGCAUUAGCCUGAGACCUUCAACAAGGCAAAACCUGGUCUGAAUCCUUCACCAUUGUGCCCUCAGUCUAACACUGUGACCGAUACGUAUUAGAGCUCAAUUAAACAUCUCCCACCUGGGUGGUUGCACCUUU